AUGAACGCUGGCGGCGUGCCUAAUACCUGCCAGUCGAGCGAACAGACGAGGAGCUUGCUCCUCUGACGUUAGCGGCGGACGGGUGAGUAACACGUGGAUAACCUACCUAUAAGACUGGGAUAACUUCGGGAAACCGGAGCUAAUACCGGAUAAUAUAUUGAACCGCAUGGUUCAAUAGUGAAAGACGGUUUUGCUGUCACUUAUAGAUGGCUCCGCGCCGCAUUAGCUAGUUGGUAAGGUAACGGCUUACCAAGGCAACGAUGCGUAGCCGACCUGAGAGGGGGAUCGGCCACACGGGAACUGAGACACGGUCCAGACUCCUACGGGAGGCAGCAGUAGGGAAUCUUCCGCAAUGGGCGAAAGCCUGACGGAGCAACGCCGCGUGAGUGAUGAAGGUCUUCGGAUCGUAAAACUCUGUUAUUAGGGAAGAACAAAUGUGUAAGUAACUAUGCACGUCUUGACGGUACCUAAUCAGAAAGCCACGGCUAACUACGUG
RNAcentral lists this ribosomal RNA (496 nucleotides) under uncultured bacterium. RNAcentral's name for it is "partial 16S ribosomal RNA". It matches the Rfam family "Bacterial small subunit ribosomal RNA", at positions 29 to 507 of the family's 1533-position model. The record is from RNAcentral.